UACGAAGGGGGCUAGCGUUGUUCGGAAUUACUGGGCGUAAAGGGCGCGUAGGCGGUGUGUCAAGUCAGGCGUGAAAGCCCCGGGCUCAACCUGGGAACCGCGCUUGAGACUGGCACGCUCGAGUUCGGGAGAGGAUGGUGGAAUUCCCAGUGUAGAGGUGAAAUUCGUAGAUAUUGGGAAGAACGCCGAUGGCGAAGGCAGCCAUCUGGACCGACACUGACGCUGAGGCGCGAAAGCGUGGGGAGCAAACAGG
RNAcentral lists this ribosomal RNA (253 nucleotides) under uncultured bacterium. RNAcentral describes it as "partial 16S ribosomal RNA". It matches the Rfam family "Bacterial small subunit ribosomal RNA", at positions 524 to 776 of the family's 1533-position model. The record is from RNAcentral.